CAGCCGCCGCGGUAAUACGGAGGGUGCAAGCGUUAAUCGGAAUUACUGGGCGUAAAGCGCACGCAGGCGGUCUGACAAGUCAGAUGUGAAAUCCCCGGGCUUAACCUGGGAACUGCAUUUGAAACUGUCAGGCUGGAGUCUUGUAGAGGGGGGUGUAAUUCCAGGUGUAGCGGUGAAAUGCGUAGAGAUCUGGAGGAAUACCGGUGGCGAAGGCGGCCCCCUGGACAAAGACUGACGCUCAGGUGCGAAAGCGUGGGGAGCAAACAGGAUUAGAUACCCCUGUAGUCCCUGUCUCUUAUAC
Molecule: ribosomal RNA, 301 nt
Filed under: uncultured bacterium
Lineage: Bacteria
Description: partial 16S ribosomal RNA
Rfam family: Bacterial small subunit ribosomal RNA
Source: RNAcentral